UAACACGUGGGGAACCUGCCCCAUAGUCUGGGAUACCACUUGGAAACAGGUGCUAAUACCGGAUAAGAAAGCAGAUCGCAUGAUCAGCUUUUAAAAGGCGGCGUAAGCUGUCGCUAUGGGAUGGCCCCGCGGUGCAUUAGUUAGUUGGUAAGGUAAAGGCUUACCAAGGCGAUGAUGCAUAGCCGAGUUGAGAGACUGAUCGGCCACAUUGGGACUGAGACACGGCCCAAACUCCUACGGGAGGCAGCAGCU
This 252-nucleotide ribosomal RNA is filed under the name uncultured Lactobacillus sp. RNAcentral describes it as "partial 16S ribosomal RNA". It matches the Rfam family "Bacterial small subunit ribosomal RNA", at positions 111 to 355 of the family's 1533-position model. Lineage: Bacteria; Bacillati; Bacillota; Bacilli; Lactobacillales; Lactobacillaceae. The record is from RNAcentral.